AUGCAGUCGAACGCGAAAGUUCCCUUCGGGGAGCGAGUAGAGUGGCGCACGGCCNUUUUAACACGUAGGGUAAUUUGCCUUUGGGUGGGGAAUACCAACCGGAAACGGUUGUUAAUACCGCAUAAUGCAGCGGCAUCACAUGAUGACAGUUGUUAAAGCGGGGGAUUGGAGCAAUCCGACCUCGCGCCUGAAGAGAAGCCUGCGGCAGAUUAGGUAGUUGGUGAGGUAAUGGCUCACCAAGCCUGCGAUCUGUAACCGGCCUGAGAGGGCGGUCGGUCACACUGACACUGACAUACGGGUCAGACUCCUACGGGAGGCAGCAGUCGGGAAUUUUGGGCAAUGGGCGAAAGCCUGACCCAGCAACGCCGCGUGAAGGAUGAAAUUUUUCGGAAUGUAAACUUCGCAAGAAUGGGAAGAAUAAGUAGGGGACAAUACCCCCUAUGAUGACGGUACCAUUUGUAAGCUCCGGCUAACUUCGUGCCAGCAGCCGCGGUAAUACGAGGGGAGCAAGCGUUGUUCGGAUUUACUGGGCGUAAAGGGCGCGUAGGCGGCUCUACAAGUCACUUGUGAAAUCUCCGGGCUUAACUCGGAACGGUCAAGUGAUACUGUCGAGCUAGAGUGCAGAAGGGGCAAUUGGAAUUCUCGGUGUAGCGGUGAAAUGCGUAGAUAUCGAGAGGAACACCAGAGGCGAAGGCGGAUUGCUGGCUGACACUGACGCUGAGGCGCGAAACUAGGGGAGCGAACGGGNAUAGAUACCCCCGGUAGUCCUA
RNAcentral lists this ribosomal RNA (770 nucleotides) under uncultured bacterium. Its description in RNAcentral is "bacterial SSU rRNA". It matches the Rfam family "Bacterial small subunit ribosomal RNA", at positions 55 to 798 of the family's 1533-position model. The record is from RNAcentral.